Molecule: ribosomal RNA, 2038 nt
Filed under: Salmonella enterica
Lineage: Bacteria; Pseudomonadati; Pseudomonadota; Gammaproteobacteria; Enterobacterales; Enterobacteriaceae
Also listed under: 2 other names
Description: partial 23S ribosomal RNA
Rfam family: Bacterial large subunit ribosomal RNA
Source: RNAcentral
UGUUUCGGCUAGGGGGCCAUCCCGGCUUACCAACCCGAUGCAAACUGCGAAUACCGGAGAAUGUUAUCACGGGAGACACACGGCGGGUGCUAACGUCCGUCGUGAAGAGGGAAACAACCCAGACCGCCAGCUAAGGUCCCAAAGUCAUGGUUAAGUGGGAAACGAUGUGGGAAGGCCCAGACAGCCAGGAUGUUGGCUUAGAAGCAGCCAUCAUUUAAAGAAAGCGUAAUAGCUCACUGGUCGAGUCGGCCUGCGCGGAAGAUGUAACGGGGCUAAACCAUGCACCGAAGCUGCGGCAGCGACACUAUGUGUUGUUGGGUAGGGGAGCGUUCUGUAAGCCUGCGAAGGUGGCCUGUGAGGGUUGCUGGAGGUAUCAGAAGUGCGAAUGCUGACAUAAGUAACGAUAAAGCGGGUGAAAAGCCCGCUCGCCGGAAGACCAAGGGUUCCUGUCCAACGUUAAUCGGGGCAGGGUGAGUCGACCCCUAAGGCGAGGCCGAAAGGCGUAGUCGAUGGGAAACGGGUUAAUAUUCCCGUACUUGGUGUUACUGCGAAGGGGGGACGGAGAAGGCUAUGUUGGCCGGGCGACGGUUGUCCCGGUUUAAGCGUGUAGGUGUGUGUUCCAGGUAAAUCCGGUUCACUUUAACACUGAGGCGUGACGACGAGGCACUACGGUGCUGAAGCAACAAAUGCCCUGCUUCCAGGAAAAGCCUCUAAGCAUCAGGUAACAUCAAAUCGUACCCCAAACCGACACAGGUGGUCAGGUAGAGAAUACCAAGGCGCUUGAGAGAACUCGGGUGAAGGAACUAGGCAAAAUGGUGCCGUAACUUCGGGAGAAGGCACGCUGACACGUAGGUGAAGUGAUUUACUCACGGAGCUGAAGUCAGUCGAAGAUACCAGCUGGCUGCAACUGUUUAUUAAAAACACAGCACUGUGCAAACACGAAAGUGGACGUAUACGGUGUGACGCCUGCCCGGUGCCGGAAGGUUAAUUGAUGGGGUCAGCGCAAGCGAAGCUCCUGAUCGAAGCCCCGGUAAACGGCGGCCGUAACUAUAACGGUCCUAAGGUAGCGAAAUUCCUUGUCGGGUAAGUUCCGACCUGCACGAAUGGCGUAAUGAUGGCCAGGCUGUCUCCACCCGAGACUCAGUGAAAUUGAACUCGCUGUGAAGAUGCAGUGUACCCGCGGCAAGACGGAAAGACCCCGUGAACCUUUACUAUAGCUUGACACUGAACAUUGAGCCUUGAUGUGUAGGAUAGGUGGGAGGCUUUGAAGCGUGGACGCCAGUCUGCGUGGAGCCGACCUUGAAAUACCACCCUUUAAUGUUUGAUGUUCUAACGUGGACCCGUGAUCCGGGUUGCGGACAGUGUCUGGUGGGUAGUUUGACUGGGGCGGUCUCCUCCUAAAGAGUAACGGAGGAGCACGAAGGUUGGCUAAUCCUGGUCGGACAUCAGGAGGUUAGUGCAAUGGCAUAAGCCAGCUUGACUGCGAGCGUGACGGCGCGAGCAGGUGCGAAAGCAGGUCAUAGUGAUCCGGUGGUUCUGAAUGGAAGGGCCAUCGCUCAACGGAUAAAAGGUACUCCGGGGAUAACAGGCUGAUACCGCCCAAGAGUUCAUAUCGACGGCGGUGUUUGGCACCUCGAUGUCGGCUCAUCACAUCCUGGGGCUGAAGUAGGUCCCAAGGGUAUGGCUGUUCGCCAUUUAAAGUGGUACGCGAGCUGGGUUUAGAACGUCGUGAGACAGUUCGGUCCCUAUCUGCCGUGGGCGCUGGAGAACUGAGGGGGGCUGCUCCUAGUACGAGAGGACCGGAGUGGACGCAUCACUGGUGUUCGGGUUGUCAUGCCAAUGGCACUGCCCGGUAGCUAAAUGCGGAAGAGAUAAGUGCUGAAAGCAUCUAAGCACGAAACUUGCCCCGAGAUGAGUUCUCCCUGAGACUUUAGGUCUCCUGAAGGAACGUUGAAGACGACGACGUUGAUAGGCCGGGUGUGUAAGCGCAGCGAUGCGUUGAGCUAACCGGUACUAAUGAACCGUGAGGCUUAACCUU